Molecule: long non-coding RNA, 141 nt
Organism: Vanessa atalanta (red admiral)
Lineage: Eukaryota; Metazoa; Arthropoda; Insecta; Lepidoptera; Nymphalidae
Exons: 3
Source: RefSeq, a predicted model, not a curated record
CCUCUUAUAUUCACCGACGGCAGCAAGAUAGAAGGGAAAGUCGGUGCUGCCCUAACAUGGUGUGAUCAAGGAAGAGAAUCCAGAUACUCCACGUUCCGUCUGGAACCGCACAACACAGUCUUCCAACGAGAUCUGAAGAGC